CUCCUUGAUACUGUAAAAAAACACAUUUAACUAACUGGCGGUAGUUCAGCUCUUUUAUUUAUCAAAAUACCCGCUUCAAGAACGACGAGGGACGACAUGUUUUGGAUAUUUGUCGCCGCUCUGAGCAGUUUUACGCUCACCUUCGGUGUAUACGCCGCGGCACCGAAAAUUCUCAACCUCCUCUCUCCGAACUACCGACGGCUGGACCCAAAGAAAGGAGUGCUCGCCGACAACACAUUCACGUCAGCAAUCAUCACUGCAAUCAUAGGCGUAUAGGUGUCUACCUGUAUUUCUUCGACCCAGAACUGUAUCCAAGUCGCCACAAUUAUGAUUGUCUACUACAACGUCAAGCAUCAGCGGCCCACCUGGCUUAUAACAUAGCCGAUGCGUUGAUGAUGAUCCGGCACAGGCAUCUCGCCACCAGGGUCUUAAUUCUGCACCAUGCUGUGGCAAUAACAUGUGGACCUAUUGCGAUUUUUUGGACAGACACACCAUGGGUCGGGGCGGCAUUUCUGGUGUUUGAAGCGUCCAGCCCUUUUGUGCACUUGAGGUCUCUGUUAAACAUUCUCGGCGAGAAGACGAACCGACUCUACACCGUCACUGGCCUGCUGAUGACUGCAGUCUUCUUCAUAUGUCGUGUAGCAACCAUUCCUACUUUCUGGUACUACGUGUACAUGUGGCACAAAGAUGGUGUUUUGCAAAAGAUUACCUGGCCCCUUGUCCACAUGGUAGCCUCUGCAAGGCUCGUUAUCGACAGUCUCAAUGUGUACUGGUUUUCAUUAAUGAUGAAGUACUUGUUCAAAAGGGUCAUAUUUGUCAAAGGUGAUGUGAAGAAAAAAGACGACGACUUCGCUCAAACAUAGUUUUGAUACAUCUUUCAGUCUGCCACGGUAAAUGAGAUGCUAAAAUGACGGGCUAGGUCUGUUUGAAUCUAUGGCUGACAUUGUAACUGCAGAUGAAAGAUAUUUUCCAAAACACCAACUUGAUGAUAUGUGAAACUUAUUGAUGGCGUGGAAUUUUGCACCUUGAUGUCUUACCUUAAAUGACUUUGAUAUGUUUCUAUUGCACGUUGUGUAAACAAGUUUAGUCUUCUACAACGUAUGUUAUAUUGUCUUAAUACCUAAGAAGAUACAUUACUCCAGCUGCAGUUUUCUUUCAACGUCAUUGAAAUUUCUCUACAAAUUAACCGAAUACAAAAGGAUACCUUAAUGUGAAAACAGUAGACAUGUAUUAAAAACUAUCUAACAUCAUG
This is a long non-coding RNA of Branchiostoma floridae (Florida lancelet), 1252 nucleotides long. RefSeq lists it as uncharacterized. NCBI's taxonomy places the organism in Eukaryota, Metazoa, Chordata, Leptocardii, Amphioxiformes, Branchiostomatidae. The record is from RefSeq and is a predicted model, not a curated record. The transcript is spliced from 6 exons.